RNAcentral lists this ribosomal RNA (506 nucleotides) under uncultured bacterium. RNAcentral's name for it is "partial 16S ribosomal RNA". It matches the Rfam family "Bacterial small subunit ribosomal RNA", at positions 29 to 523 of the family's 1533-position model. The record is from RNAcentral.
AGUGAACGCUGGCGGUAGGCCUAACACAUGCAAGUCGAACGGCAGCACAGGAGAGCUUGCUCUCUGGGUGGCGAGUGGCGGACGGGUGAGGAAUACAUCGGAAUCUACUCUGUCGUGAGGGAUAACGUAGGGAAACUUACGCUAAUACCGCAUACGACCUACGGGUGAAAGCAGGGGACCUUCGGGCCUUGCGCGAUUGAAUGAGCCGAUGUCGGAUUAGCUAGUUGGCGGGGUAAAGGCCCACCAAGGCGACGAUCCGUAGCUGGUCUGAGAGGAUGAUCAGCCACACUGGAACUGAGACACGGUCCAGACUCCUACGGGAGGCAGCAGUGGGGAAUAUUGGACAAUGGGCGCAAGCCUGAUCCAGCCAUACCGCGUGGGUGAAGAAGGCCUUCGGGUUGUAGAGCCCUUUUGUUGGGAAAGAAAUCCAGCUGGCUAAUACCCGGUUGGGAUGACGGUACCCAAAGAAUAAGCACCGGCUAACUUCGUGCCAGCAGCCGCCGCGG